Molecule: small RNA, 1017 nt
Filed under: Pan troglodytes (chimpanzee)
Lineage: Eukaryota; Metazoa; Chordata; Mammalia; Primates; Hominidae
Description: retained intron
Source: RNAcentral
ACCACACUCAGCCUCCAAAUAUGAUUUCUUUAAGUUAACCUUUUACCAAAACUCCAGCCAGAGGUAACCUGUAGGUAUUAUGGUUUGAACUAGCAGAGGUCCUGAGACCAUCUAACUGUUGGGUCUAUUUCUUGGGGACAGCAGCUACCAAGGGGGUGCCAGCUGGAAACAGUGACACAGAGGGGGGCCAGCCUGGUCGGAAACGACGCUGGGGAGCCAGCACAGCCACCACACAGAAGAAACCUUCCAUCAGUAUCACCACUGAAUCACUAAAGGAGGCUGUUGUGGAUCUUCAUGCUGAUGACUCUCGCAUCUCUGAGGAUGAGACAGAGCGUAAUGGCGAUGAUGGGACCCAUGACAAGGGGCUGAAAAUAUGCCGGACAGUCACUCAGGUAGUACCUGCAGAGGGCCAGGAGAAUGGGCAGAGGGAAGAAGAGGAAGAAGAGAAGGAACCUGAAGCAGAACCUCCUGUACCUCCCCAGGUGUCAGUAGAGGUGGCCUUGCCCCCACCUGCAGAGCAUGAAGUAAAGAAAGUGACUUUAGGAGAUACCUUAACUCGACGUUCCAUUAGCCAGCAGAAGUCCGGAGUUUCCAUUACCAUCGAUGACCCAGUCCGAACUGCCCAGGUGCCCUCCCCACCCCGGGGCAAGAUUAGCAACAUUGUCCAUAUCUCCAAUUUGGUCCGUCCUUUCACUUUAGGCCAGCUAAAGGAGUUGUUGGGGCGCACAGGAACCUUGGUGGAAGAGGCCUUCUGGAUUGACAAGAUCAAAUCUCAUUGCUUUGUAACGUACUCAACAGUAGAGGAAGCUGUUGCCACCCGCACAGCUCUGCACGGGGUCAAAUGGCCCCAGUCCAAUCCCAAAUUCCUUUGUGCUGACUAUGCCGAGCAAGAUGAGCUGGAUUAUCACCGAGGCCUCUUGGUGGACCGUCCCUCUGAAACUAAGACAGAGGAGCAGGGAAUACCACGGCCCCUGCACCCUCCACCCCCACCCCCGGUCCAGCCACCACAGCACCCCC